AUCCCUAGCCAAGAAGAACAAGAACCAUCAACCACCAGUUCAGACCUGAGAUGUGACUGCUCUGUGCUGUUGCUGAUGACUCCAGUUAAUCCUACAAGACGUGCUGUGACACCAGCAGAGAUGAGUCCUCCAUCACAGAUGGUUGGUCAGUGACCUGCAGGUCGAAGGUCAUUGCAUCUCCAGCCCACAUCCACUGCCACUGUACUGAAGGGAAGUUAAAGACUUUCUGCUGCACUUACAUUUGGAUCAGCUCGAUCCAUGACAGUCAUUCAGGCAGUGAUGCCUGGACUGGAAACAAGCAUCCUUAAAAUAUUACAACAUUCCAGCUCCUGUGUUUGAAUGUAAAACAAAUGUGUUGUUUGAUCUGGAGACUGAACAAUAAAUACAUUUUAUUUUGAUUAUAGAAGUAAUGUAACUACAAACAAACUUAAUAAACUAAUAAUAAUAAACUAAUAAUAAGAAUAAUUAAAUCUGAGACGUUGUUUCAUUGUAACAUUAUAACAAUGAUGACAGUAUAACUGUUGUUGUUCAGCAGAACAGUGUCCAGGAUGUUGGCUGUUGUUUUACAUUUCAAAAUAAAAGUUGGGCUGAU
Long non-coding RNA from Oreochromis aureus, 592 nucleotides. RefSeq lists it as uncharacterized. The transcript is spliced from 3 exons. Lineage: Eukaryota; Metazoa; Chordata; Actinopteri; Cichliformes; Cichlidae. The record is from RefSeq and is a predicted model, not a curated record.